GGAGUUAGCCGAUGCUUAUUCUCCAGGUACACGUCAUUUAUUCCUCCCUGAAAAAAGAGGUUUACAACCCAUAGGCCGUCAUCCCUCACGCGGUAUUGCUCCGUCAGGCUUUCGCCCAUUGCGGAAAAUUCCC
Molecule: ribosomal RNA, 133 nt
Filed under: uncultured bacterium
Lineage: Bacteria
Description: partial 16S ribosomal RNA
Source: RNAcentral